CGUAGGUGGCAAGCGUUGUCCGGAAUUAUUGGGCGUAAAGCGCGCGCAGGCGGUUCCUUAAGUCUGACGUGAAAGCCCCCGGCUCAACCGGGGAAGGUCAUUGGAAACUGGGGAACUUGAGUGCAGAAGAGAAGAGCGGAAUUCCACGUGUAGCGGUGAAAUGCGUAGAGAUGUGGAGGAACACCAGUGGCGAAGGCGGCUCUUUGGUCUGUAACUGACGCUGAGGCGCGAAAGCGUGGGGAGCAAACAGGAUUAGAUACCCUGGUAGUCCACGCCGUAAACGAUGAGUGCUAAGUGUUAGAGGGUUUCCGCCCUUUAGUGCUGCAGCUAACGCAUUAAGCACUCCGCCUGGGGAGUACGGCCGCAAGGCUG
RNAcentral lists this ribosomal RNA (372 nucleotides) under uncultured organism. RNAcentral's name for it is "bacterial SSU rRNA". It matches the Rfam family "Bacterial small subunit ribosomal RNA", at positions 526 to 896 of the family's 1533-position model. The record is from RNAcentral.